GCACCGUUAGCUUAGUGGUAGAGCGCCACCUUGACACGGUGGAGGUCAGAGGUUCAAGUCCUCUACGGUGCA
Molecule: non-coding RNA, 72 nt
Organism: Verrucomicrobia subdivision 6 bacterium BACL9 MAG-120924-bin69
Lineage: Bacteria; Pseudomonadati; Verrucomicrobiota; Verrucomicrobiia; Verrucomicrobiales; Verrucomicrobia subdivision 6
Source: Rfam